UACGUAGGCAGCAAGCGUUGUUCGGAGUUACUGGGCGUAAAGGGUGUGUAGGCGGCUCCCUAAGUUUGGCGUGAAAUCUCCCGGCUCAACCGGGAGGGUGCGUCGAAUACUGAGGGGCUAGAGUGCGGGAGAGGAAAGUGGAAUUCCUGGUGUAGCGGUGAAAUGCGUAGAUAUCAGGAGGAACACCGGUGGUGUAGACGGCUUUCUGGACCGUAACUGACGCUGAAACACGAAAGCGUGGGUAGCAAACAGG
This 253-nucleotide ribosomal RNA is filed under the name uncultured bacterium. RNAcentral's name for it is "partial 16S ribosomal RNA". It matches the Rfam family "Bacterial small subunit ribosomal RNA", at positions 524 to 776 of the family's 1533-position model. The record is from RNAcentral.